Molecule: ribosomal RNA, 252 nt
Filed under: uncultured bacterium
Lineage: Bacteria
Description: partial 16S ribosomal RNA
Rfam family: Bacterial small subunit ribosomal RNA
Source: RNAcentral
UACGUAGGGUGCGAGCGUUAUCCGGAUUUAUUGGGCGUAAAGCGUGCGUAGGCGGUUGAUUAAGUCUAAGAUCAAACCCUGGAGCUUAACUCCAGGUCGUCUUAGAAACUGAUCGGCUUGAGUAUAGUAGAGGCAAAUGGAAUUUCUAGUGUAGCGGUAAAAUGUGUAGAUAUUAGAAGGAACAUCAGUGGCGAAGGCGAUUUGCUGGGCUAUCACUGACGCUGAGGCACGAAAGCGUGGGGAGCGAAUAGG